Molecule: long non-coding RNA, 1797 nt
Filed under: Nicotiana tabacum (common tobacco)
Lineage: Eukaryota; Viridiplantae; Streptophyta; Magnoliopsida; Solanales; Solanaceae
Description: long non-coding RNA (NTAB_LNC004104)
Source: RNAcentral
AAAUCCAUUACAACUUACAAAUAACGUAAGAUCACAUAUUAUAAUGCAUACUAUCAGUUCAUUUCAUUUACAUAUCUUUUAGAUAGAUAGCUACUUCUGAUGAGCAACUCAUGUUACAAUAGAAGGAAAGGAUAAUCUUCAAAGUAUAAGAAACGUUAUCCAUUUCAGAGAGUGAUUUCGUUCAAAAAAUUUCAUGGUUUGAUGUCUAAGAGCUUCAAGGAACCAGAAGCUAAAUACUCACUUUGAUAUAUAUGAUCUUUAUCAAAAACAUUAGAAAUAAAAGCAAAUUUUCCAAUGAGGAUUUGUUGGAAUAGUAGCAACGUGGAAUUUUGCGGUUCUAGAAGAGUACGGUGCAAUUUUCGCCAAGAAUAUUAUAUAAAAUUUUCCUACUCCAGGUAUGUUAAGGUCAUCCCUUCUUUCUUUUGGCAUGAUCCAAAAUAUACUGAAGAAACGAGCAAACACACAGUUUCCAUAAAUUACUCUAUUCAUAGAGAUAUUAGGGCUGUCUAUAUCCUUGAUUCCCCAUGAGAAUUUUUAUUAUCUUCUGUUCAUGAGUCUCAGAAUAAUACGCAGUUGAAAAAGUUUAUCCGGGAGGAAUAUUGGGAUUAUUACGUAUUUUUCAUGCAUUUCACCCAUUUAUACAUAUGCAUUGACCCAUGACCAGGUGGCGUUAUAUACGCGUAUAUAUGUAAAUAUAUGUAUAUGGGAUAUGGGAAAAGGUUAUGGCGUUAUAAACGCACAACCACCUGAUCAGUUGGUAUAUGUUGAUGAUGUUGUCCACAGUGGCCGAGACGAUAUGAUGGGAUGCCUUAGCGGCUUGAUGAUAUUAUGUACACCCAUACCUAUGCAUGACACGACAUUUAUACGCACCUGCAUGACAUUAUAAAUGAUUCAGAAUUUACAAAGUUAUUUAGAUUUAAAGACGUGUUUCUUUGCUCCAUGUUUUAUCUAUGUCUUUUACAUACUAAUUUUCAUGCCUUACAUACUCAGUACAUUUUUCGUACUGAUACACUAUUUCAUGAGGCAUGUAUUUCAUGCCGGCAGGUGCAGGUAGGUAAGCUGACGGUCCUCCUUCUUAGGAUCCUUGAUCAACGAGAGUUGUCAUGCUCCAUUUGAUCCGGAGCUGCUUUUGAUUAUGGCACGAUAUAUUUGUGGAUAUAUAUAUAUGGGUAUGACGUAGCUCGGUCCCGUCUUUGUAUAGCUAUAUUUCUAUUAGAGGUAUGUAGACAGUAUGUCUAGUUGGAUAGUAUAUGGCCUUGCCGGCUUCCAGUUUUGAUAUGUAUAGUUGUCUAUAGCAUCCUUGUCGGCUCACCCUACGUAUGUCGUACGUAUAUGUAUGUAUGCUUUUUUGGGUAGACAAAUUCGAUCUCAUUUGGUUUUCAGACGGUAGUCCCCGAGCGUGGGGUUAGUUGUUUGAACUUCUGUUAUGAUCAACCCUUAAGCCUGUUUACCCAAUAGAUCAAGAGUAUGGAAUUGUAAAGUAGAAAAUUUUUCUAAGGCAUGAGAUAUCGGCAAGGAAAAAAAACUUCUUUUAAUAGAUGAUUAUACAUGCGUACAUGUUUGAUGUUAGGGCUCGAGUAUCCUAUAUCGGCACGGUUCAUUCAAUCGUUGGCCCUUACAAAAUUUACCUAUCGAGACCCAGCUGUUGCAAAAUAAUUUCCUUGUAACAAAGUUGAUAUUCAAGGGUAAUGCCCCCCAGUAUUCGAGGUUGAUUGUAAAGAAGCCUUGCAUAAUGUUGAAUUGUUCUAAGUUAGCACGAUCAAUGGUUGCCUCGUUAAAAACCUCGCCGGAAAAAUC